CAGCAGCCGCGGUAAUACGUAGGGUGCAAGCGUUAAUCGGAAUUACUGGGCGUAAAGCGCACGUAGGCGGCUCAGCAAGUCAGGGGUGAAAUCCCGGGGCUCAACCCCGGAACUGCCCUUGAAACUGCUAGGCUAGAAUCUUGGAGAGGCGAGUGGAAUUCCGAGUGUAGAGGUGAAAUUCGUAGAUAUUCGGAAGAACACCAGUGGCGAAGGCGACUCGCUGGACAAGUAUUGACGCUGAGGCACGAAAGCGUGGGGAGCAUACAGGAUUAGAUACCCGCGUAGUCCCUGUCUCUUAUAC
This 301-nucleotide ribosomal RNA is filed under the name uncultured bacterium. RNAcentral describes it as "partial 16S ribosomal RNA". It matches the Rfam family "Bacterial small subunit ribosomal RNA", at positions 509 to 807 of the family's 1533-position model. The record is from RNAcentral.